CGAUUCCGUAAGUAGCGGCGAGCGAACGCGGAUUAGCCCAAACCAAUAAAGUUUUCUUUAUUGGGGUUGCGGACAUAUCAUAACGAAGAGGGAUCGUAAUUGAAGAGGUUUGGAAAGACCCACCACAGAAGGUAAUAGUCCUGUAUGUUAAACGAGAAGACUUCAGAUAUGAUCCAGAGUACCACGGGACACGUGAAACCCUGUGGGAAGCAGGAGGGACCACCCUCCAAGGCUAAAUACUACCUAG
RNAcentral lists this ribosomal RNA (247 nucleotides) under Clostridioides difficile. RNAcentral's name for it is "partial 23S ribosomal RNA". It matches the Rfam family "Bacterial large subunit ribosomal RNA", at positions 232 to 480 of the family's 2925-position model. Lineage: Bacteria; Bacillati; Bacillota; Clostridia; Peptostreptococcales; Peptostreptococcaceae. The record is from RNAcentral.